CAAACCACCAAUGGUCAUGAAGAACAACACGCAUAUGCCGAACAAGAGUCUUAAACUUCUGCUGGAUAUGGGAUUCCUCUCUAGUUUCACCACCAUAAAAAGCAAUACUCUCUGCAUGAGUCCUUAAUCGUGAGUGAACCUGCCUAUACUCCCCUUCCAAUUGCUGUUCUUUAGACAUUAGUGUCCCAAAUGAAGGAGAGAAG
This 203-nucleotide unclassified non-coding RNA is filed under the name Hevea brasiliensis (rubber tree). The record is from RNAcentral. Lineage: Eukaryota; Viridiplantae; Streptophyta; Magnoliopsida; Malpighiales; Euphorbiaceae.